RNAcentral lists this ribosomal RNA (309 nucleotides) under Triticum aestivum (bread wheat). RNAcentral's name for it is "partial small subunit ribosomal RNA". The record is from RNAcentral. Lineage: Eukaryota; Viridiplantae; Streptophyta; Magnoliopsida; Poales; Poaceae.
AUGAUAACUGGGAUGUUUAGUUGGUACAUGCCCGGAGGCAAGGCAGAAGGGGUUAAAUCUAAUGUUGAAUGCUGUUCCACCACUUGGUUUUCACUCUUAUGUGGAGAGUUUCGUCACUACGAGCUGCUCUAUUCAUUGUAUGAACUGGGGAAGGCUGAAUAUGCUUCUAUUUUUAGCAUUAGUAUCGCAGUAUUUGACAGUUCUGUUCCCUGGCCAGGGCUAAGGGGCUUUGCCUCCUGCCACUGCAUACAAGACCCCCUGGCACACUUAGCAGGAUUUGAUAAUUUUGUUCUCUUGUUUUGGUCUUAG